AGUGAACGCUGGCGGCAGGCCUAAUACAUGCAAGUCGAACGGCAGCACAGCAGAGCUUGCUCUGUGGGUGGCGAGUGGCGGACGGGUGAGGAAUACGUGGGAAUCUGCCCAGUCGUGGGGGAUAACGUAGGGAAACUUACGCUAAUACCGCAUGCGCCCUUCGGGGAAAGCCGGGGACCUUCGGGCCUGGCGCGAUUGGAUGAGCCCACGUCGGAUUAGCUAGUUGGCGGGGUAAGGGCCCACCAAGGCGACGAUCCGUAGCUGGUCUGAGAGGAUGAUCAGCCACACUGGAACUGAGACACGGUCCAGACUCCUACGGGAGCAGCAGUAGGGAAUAUUGGACAAUGGGCGCAAGCCUGAUCCAGCCAUGCCGCGUGAGUGAAGAAGGCCCUCGGGUUGUAAAGCUCUUUUGUCCGGAAAGAAAGCGCCGGGUUAAUACCCUGGUGUCCUGACGGUACCGGAAGAAUAAGCACCGGCUAACUUCGUGCCAGCAGCCGCGGUAA
This 503-nucleotide ribosomal RNA is filed under the name uncultured bacterium. RNAcentral's name for it is "bacterial SSU rRNA". It matches the Rfam family "Bacterial small subunit ribosomal RNA", at positions 29 to 523 of the family's 1533-position model. The record is from RNAcentral.